CCUACGGGAGGCAGCAGUGGGGAAUCUUGCGCAAUGGGCGAAAGCCUGACGCAGCAACGCCGCGUGCGGGAUGAAGGCCUUCGGGUUGUAAACCGCUUUUAACAGGAACGAAAAUGACGGUACCUGUAGAAUAAGGUGCGGCCAACUACGUGCCAGCAGCCGCGGUGACACGUAGGCACCAAGCGUUGUCCGGAUUUAUUGGGCGUAAAGAGCUCGUAGGCGGUUCGAUAAGUCGGGUGUGAAAACUCUGGGCUUAACCCAGAGACGCCACUCGAUACUAUUGUGACUAGAGUUCGGUAGGGGAGCGGGGAAUUCCUAGUGUAGCGGUGAAAUGCGCAGAUAUUAGGAGGAACACCGGUGGCGAAGGCGCCGCUCUGGGCCGAAACUGACGCUGAGGAGCGAAAGCGUGGGUAGCAAACAGGAUUAGAUACCCUGGUAGUCCACGCCGUAAACGGUGGGCACUAGGUGUGGGCUCCAACCAACGGAGUCCGCGCCGUCGCUAACGCAUUAAGUGCCCCGCCUGGGGAGUACGGCCGCAAGGUUAAAACCUCAAAUGAAUUGACGG
RNAcentral lists this ribosomal RNA (565 nucleotides) under uncultured bacterium. Its description in RNAcentral is "bacterial SSU rRNA". It matches the Rfam family "Bacterial small subunit ribosomal RNA", at positions 338 to 916 of the family's 1533-position model. The record is from RNAcentral.